Molecule: ribosomal RNA, 2867 nt
Filed under: Stenotrophomonas maltophilia S028
Lineage: Bacteria; Pseudomonadati; Pseudomonadota; Gammaproteobacteria; Lysobacterales; Lysobacteraceae
Description: bacterial LSU rRNA
Rfam family: Bacterial large subunit ribosomal RNA
Source: RNAcentral
AUAAGCGCACACGGUGGAUGCCUUGGCGGUCAGAGGCGAUGAAGGACGUGGCAGCCUGCGAAAAGUAUCGGGGAGCUGGCAACAAGCUUUGAUCCGGUAAUGUCCGAAUGGGGAAACCCACCCGCUUGCGGGUAUCCUGCAGUGAAUACAUAGCUGCUGGAAGCGAACCUGGUGAACUGAAAUAUCUAAGUAACCAGAGGAAAAGAAAUCAACCGAGAUUCCCUGAGUAGCGACGAGCGAACGGGGACUAGCCCUUAAGCUGGAAUGGUUCUAGAAAAACAGCCUGGAACGGCUGGCCAUAGAAGGUGAUAGCCCUGUAUUUAAAAGGGCCACUCCAGUGAAGACGAGUAGGGCGGGGCACGUGAAACCCUGUCUGAACAUGGGGGGACCAUCCUCCAAGGCUAAAUACUACUGACCGACCGAUAGUGAACCAGUACCGUGAGGGAAAGGCGAAAAGAACCCCGGAGAGGGGAGUGAAAUAGAUCCUGAAACCGUGUGCGUACAAGCAGUAGGAGCUCGAAAGAGUGACUGCGUACCUUUUGUAUAAUGGGUCAGCGACUUACUGUUCGUGGCAAGCUUAACCGUAUAGGGGAGGCGAAGGGAAACCGAGUCUGAUAAGGGCGCAUAGUCGCGGGCAGUAGACCCGAAACCGGGUGAUCUAGUCAUGGCCAGGGUGAAGGUGCCGUAACAGGUACUGGAGGCCCGAACCCACGUCUGUUGCAAAAGACGGGGAUGAGCUGUGAUUAGGAGUGAAAAGCUAAUCGAACCCGGAGAUAGCUGGUUCUCCUCGAAAGCUAUUUAGGUAGCGCCUCAUAUGUAUCCUCUCGGGGGUAGAGCACUGUUAUGGCUAGGGGGUCAUCGCGACUUACCAAACCAUUGCAAACUCCGAAUACCGAGACGGACUGUAUGGGAGACACACGGCGGGUGCUAACGUCCGUCGUGAAAAGGGAAACAACCCAGACCCACAGCUAAGGUCCCAAAUUCACUGCUAAGUGGAAAACCAUGUGGAAAGGCACAGACAGCCAGGAGGUUGGCUUAGAAGCAGCCACCCUUUAAAGAAAGCGUAAUAGCUCACUGGUCGAGUCGGUCUGCGGGGAAGAUUUAACGGGGCUAAGCAGUGAACCGAAGCUUGGGGUGUGCAUAUUUAUAUGUACGCGGUAGAGGAGCGUUCCGUAAGCCGUUGAAGGUGGAUUGAGAAGUCUGCUGGAGGUAUCGGAAGUGCGAAUGCUGACAUGAGUAACGAUAAUGCGGGUGAAAAACCCGCACGCCGAAAGCCCAAGGUUUCCUUGCGCAACGUUAAUCGGCGCAGGGUGAGUCGGCCCCUAAGGCGAGGACGAAAGUCGUAGUCGAUGGGAAGCAGGUUAAUAUUCCUGCACCUCGCGUAAGUGCGAUGGAGGGACGGAGAAGGUUAGGUGUACCCGGCGUUGGUUGUCCGGGGGAAAGGCGGUAGGUUUGGAUCUUUGGCAAAUCCGGGAUCCUUUAAGACCGAGCACCGAGACGAGCCUUUAAGGCGAAGUCACUGAUACCACGCUUCCAGGAAAAGCUCCUAAGCUUCAGCUUACGCAGACCGUACCGUAAACCGACACAGGUGGGUAGGAUGAGAAUUCUCAGGCGCUUGAGAGAACUCGGGUGAAGGAACUAGGCAACAUGGCACCGUAACUUCGGGAGAAGGUGCGCCCUUUUUGGUGGCUCAUGCGAGCUAUAGCUGAAGAGGGCCGCAGUAACCAGGCCGCUGCGACUGUUUAUCAAAAACACAGCACUCUGCAAACACGAAAGUGGACGUAUAGGGUGUGACGCCUGCCCGGUGCUGGAAGGUUAAUUGAUGGGGUCAGCCGCAAGGCGAAGCUCUUGAUCGAAGCCCCAGUAAACGGCGGCCGUAACUAUAACGGUCCUAAGGUAGCGAAAUUCCUUGUCGGGUAAGUUCCGACCUGCACGAAUGGCGUAACGACAGCGGCGCUGUCUCCACCCGAGACUCAGUGAAAUUGAAAUCGCUGUGAAGAUGCAGCGUUCCCGUGGCAAGACGGAAAGACCCCGUGAACCUUUACUAUAGCUUUACACUGAACGUUGAGUUCGUCUGUGUAGGAUAGGUGGGAGGCUAUGAAACUGUGGCGCUAGCUGCAGUGGAGCCAUCCUUGAAAUACCACCCUGUCGUGCUUGACGUUCUAACCUGGGCCCAUUAUCUGGGUCGGGGACCGUGUAUGGUGGGUAGUUUGACUGGGGCGGUCUCCUCCUAAAGAGUAACGGAGGAGCUCGAAGGUACGCUCAGCGCGGUCGGACAUCGCGCACUGUGUGCAAAGGCAUAAGCGUGCUUGACUGCAAGAUCGACGGAUCAAGCAGGUAGGAAACUAGGACUUAGUGAUCCGGUGGUUCUGUAUGGAAGGGCCAUCGCUCAACGGAUAAAAGGUACUCCGGGGAUAACAGGCUGAUACCGCCCAAGAGUUCAUAUCGACGGCGGUGUUUGGCACCUCGAUGUCGGCUCAUCACAUCCUGGGGCUGUAGUCGGUCCCAAGGGUAUGGCUGUUCGCCAUUUAAAGUGGUACGCGAGCUGGGUUCAGAACGUCGUGAGACAGUUCGGUCCCUAUCUGCCAUGGGCGUUGGAGAUUUGAGAGGGGCUGCUCCUAGUACGAGAGGACCGGAGUGGACGAACCUCUGGUGUUCCGGUUGUCACGCCAGUGGCAUUGCCGGGUAGCUAUGUUCGGAAGCGAUAACCGCUGAAAGCAUCUAAGCGGGAAGCGCGCCUCAAGAUGAGAUCUCCCGGGGCACAAGCCCCCUGAAGGAACCAUAUAGACUAUGUGGUUGAUAGGUCAGGUGUGUAAGUACAGCAAUGUAUUGAGCUAACUGAUACUAAUGAUCCGUGUGGCUUGACC